This 1414-nucleotide ribosomal RNA is filed under the name Streptomyces yanii. Its description in RNAcentral is "bacterial SSU rRNA". It matches the Rfam family "Bacterial small subunit ribosomal RNA". The record is from RNAcentral. Lineage: Bacteria; Bacillati; Actinomycetota; Actinomycetes; Kitasatosporales; Streptomycetaceae.
GCUUAACACAUGCAAGUCGAACGAUGAAGCCCUUCGGGGUGGAUUAGUGGCGAACGGGUGAGUAACACGUGGGCAAUCUGCCCUUCACUCUGGGACAAGCCCUGGAAACGGGGUCUAAUACCGGAUAACACCUUGUCCCGCAUGGGAGGGGGUUGAAAGCUCCGGCGGUGAAGGAUGAGCCCGCGGCCUAUCAGCUUGUUGGUGGGGUGAAGGCCUACCAAGGCGACGACGGGUAGCCGGCCUGAGAGGGCGACCGGCCACACUGGGACUGAGACACGGCCCAGACUCCUACGGGAGGCAGCAGUGGGGAAUAUUGCACAAUGGGCGAAAGCCUGAUGCAGCGACGCCGCGUGAGGGAUGACGGCCUUCGGGUUGUAAACCUCUUUCAGCAGGGAAGAAGCGAGAGUGACGGUACCUGCAGAAGAAGCGCCGGCUAACUACGUGCCAGCAGCCGCGGUAAUACGUAGGGCGCAAGCGUUGUCCGGAAUUAUUGGGCGUAAAGAGCUCGUAGGCGGCUUGUUGCGUCGGUUGUGAAAGCCCGGGGCUUAACCCCGGGUCUGCAGUCGAUACGGGCAGGCUAGAGUGUGGUAGGGGAGAUCGGAAUUCCUGGUGUAGCGGUGAAAUGCGCAGAUAUCAGGAGGAACACCGGUGGCGAAGGCGGAUCUCUGGGCCAUUACUGACGCUGAGGAGCGAAAGCGUGGGGAGCGAACAGGAUUAGAUACCCUGGUAGUCCACGCCGUAAACGUUGGGAACUAGGUGUUGGCGACAUUCCACGUCGUCGGUGCCGCAGCUAACGCAUUAAGUUCCCCGCCUGGGGAGUACGGCCGCAAGGCUAAAACUCAAAGGAAUUGACGGGGGCCCGCACAAGCAGCGGAGCAUGUGGCUUAAUUCGACGCAACGCGAAGAACCUUACCAAGGCUUGACAUAUACCGGAAAGCAUCAGAGAUGGUGCCCCCCUUGUGGUCGGUAUACAGGUGGUGCAUGGCUGUUGUCAGCUCGUGUCGUGAGAUGUUGGGUUAAGUCCCGCAACGAGCGCAACCCUUGUUCUGUGUUGCCAGCAUCCCUUUCGGGGUGAUGGGGACUCACAGGAGACUGCCGGGGUCAACUCGGAGGAAGGUGGGGACGACGUCAAGUCAUCAUGCCCCUUAUGUCUUGGGCUGCACACGUGCUACAAUGGCCGGUACAAUGAGCUGAGAUGCCGCGAGGCGGAGCGAAUCUCAAAAAGCCGGUCUCAGUUCGGAUUGGGGUCUGCAACUCGACCCCAUGAAGUCGGAGUUGCUAGUAAUCGCAGAUCAGCAUUGCUGCGGUGAAUACGUUCCCGGGCCUUGUACACACCGCCCGUCACGUCACGAAAGUCGGUAACACCCGAAGCCGGUGGCCCAACCCCUUGUGGGAGGGAGCUGUCGAAGGUGGG